Molecule: ribosomal RNA, 427 nt
Filed under: uncultured bacterium
Lineage: Bacteria
Description: bacterial SSU rRNA
Rfam family: Bacterial small subunit ribosomal RNA
Source: RNAcentral
UCGAGAAUUUUUCUCAAUGGGGGAAACCCUGAAGGAGCGACGCCGCGUGGGGGAUGAAUGGCUUCGGCCCGUAAACCCCUGUCAUUUGUGAACAAAGUCCAUGGUUUAAGAGAUAAUGGAUUGAUAGUAGCGAAAGAGGAAGGGACGGCUAACUCUGUGCCAGCAGCCGCGGUAAUACAGAGGUCCCGAGCGUUGUUCGGAUUCACUGGGCGUAAAGGGUGCGUAGGUGGUGGGGUAAGUCGGAUGUGAAAGCUCGGAGCUCAACUCCGAAAUGGCAUUGGAAACUACCCUGCUGGAGGUUUGGAGGGGGGACUGGAAUACUUGGUGUAGCAGUGAAAUGCGUAGAUAUCAAGUGGAACACCAGUGGCGAAGGCGAGUCCCUGGACAAAACCUGACACUGAGGCACGAAAGCUAGGGGAGCAAACAG